This 253-nucleotide ribosomal RNA is filed under the name uncultured bacterium. RNAcentral describes it as "partial 16S ribosomal RNA". It matches the Rfam family "Bacterial small subunit ribosomal RNA", at positions 524 to 776 of the family's 1533-position model. The record is from RNAcentral.
CACGUAGGCACCAAGCGUUGUCCGGAUUUAUUGGGCGUAAAGAGCUCGUAGGCGGCUUGUUGCGUCGACUGUGAAAACCCGCGGCUUAACCGCGGACUUGCAGUUGAUACGGGCAGGCUAGAGUUCGGUAGGGGAGACUGGAGUUCCUGGUGUAGCGGUGAAAUGCGCAGAUAUCAGGAGGAACACCGGUGGCGAAGGCGGGUCUCUGGGCCGAUACUGACGCUGAGGAGCGAAAGCGUGGGGAGCGAACAGG